This 292-nucleotide ribosomal RNA is filed under the name uncultured bacterium. RNAcentral's name for it is "partial 16S ribosomal RNA". It matches the Rfam family "Bacterial small subunit ribosomal RNA", at positions 505 to 796 of the family's 1533-position model. The record is from RNAcentral.
GUGCCAGCCGCCGCGGUAAUACGUAGGUGGCGAGCGUUGUCCGGAAUUACUGGGUGUAAAGGGCGUGUAGGCGGGAAUACAAGUCAGAUGUGAAAUACCGAGGCUUAACUUCGGGGCUGCAUCUGAAACUGUGUUUCUUGAGUGUCGGAGAGGAAAUUGGAAUUCCCAGUGUAGCGGUGAAAUGCGUAGAUAUUGGGAGGAACACCAGUGGCGAAGGCGACUUUCUGGACGAUAACUGACGCUGAGGCGCGAAAGCGUGGGGAGCAAACAGGAUUAGAAACCCUUGUAGUCC